RNAcentral lists this ribosomal RNA (439 nucleotides) under uncultured bacterium. RNAcentral's name for it is "partial 16S ribosomal RNA". It matches the Rfam family "Bacterial small subunit ribosomal RNA", at positions 339 to 795 of the family's 1533-position model. The record is from RNAcentral.
CUACGGGCUGCUGCAGUGAGGAAUAUUGCACAAUGGGGGGAACCCUGAUGCAGCAACGCCGCGUGGAGGAUGACGCAUUUCGGUGUGUAAACUCCUUUUAUAUGUCAAGAAAAUGACGGUAGCAUAUGAAUAAGCACCGGCUAACUCCGUGCCAGUAGCCGCGGUAAUACGAAGGGUGCAAGCGUUACUCGGAAUCACUGGGCGUAAAGGACGCGUAGGCGGGUUGGAAAGUCAGGUGUGAAAUCCUACAGCUUAACUGUAGAACUGCACUUGAAACUUCUAAUCUAGAGUAUGGGAGGGGGAGAUGGAAUUAGUGGUGUAGGGGUAAAAUCCGUAGAUAUCACUAGGAAUACCUAAAGCGAAGGCGAUCUCCUGGAACAUUACUGACGCUAAGGCGUGAAAGCGUGGGGAGCAAACAGGAUUAGAUACCCGCGUAGUC